This 649-nucleotide ribosomal RNA is filed under the name Penicillium commune. RNAcentral's name for it is "eukaryotic LSU rRNA". The stretch from base 314 to 466 matches the Rfam family "5.8S ribosomal RNA". Lineage: Eukaryota; Fungi; Ascomycota; Eurotiomycetes; Eurotiales; Aspergillaceae. The record is from RNAcentral.
GCGUAAAGCCCCCCGNCGGCCAGUNAAGGCGGGCNCGNCGAAGCAACAAGGUNAAAUAAACACAGUANGAGGUUGGACCCAGANGGCCCNCACUCGUAAUNGANCCUUCCGUAGGUGAACCUGCGGAAGGAUCAUUACCGAGUGAGGGCCCUCUGGGUCCAACCUCCCACCCGUGUUUAUUUUACCUUGUUGCUUCGGCGGGCCCGCCUUAACUGGCCGCCGGGGGGCUUACGCCCCCGGGCCCGCGCCCGCCGAAGACACCCUCGAACUCUGUCUGAAGAUUGUAGUCUGAGUGAAAAUAUAAAUUAUUUAAAACUUUCAACAACGGAUCUCUUGGUUCCGGCAUCGAUGAAGAACGCAGCGAAAUGCGAUACGUAAUGUGAAUUGCAAAUUCAGUGAAUCAUCGAGUCUUUGAACGCACAUUGCGCCCCCUGGUAUUCCGGGGGGCAUGCCUGUCCGAGCGUCAUUGCUGCCCUCAAGCACGGCUUGUGUGUUGGGCCCCGUCCUCCGAUCCCGGGGGACGGGCCCGAAAGGCAGCGGCGGCACCGCGUCCGGUCCUCGAGCGUAUGGGGCUUUGUCACCCGCUCUGUAGGCCCGGCCGGCGCUUGCCGAUCAACCCAAAUUUUUAUCCAGGUACCUCGAUCAGUCG